This 538-nucleotide ribosomal RNA is filed under the name Salmonella enterica subsp. enterica serovar Agona. RNAcentral describes it as "bacterial SSU rRNA". It matches the Rfam family "Bacterial small subunit ribosomal RNA", at positions 1007 to 1533 of the family's 1533-position model. The record is from RNAcentral. Lineage: Bacteria; Pseudomonadati; Pseudomonadota; Gammaproteobacteria; Enterobacterales; Enterobacteriaceae.
UGGACUGGUGCCUUCGGGAACUGUGAGACAGGUGCUGCAUGGCUGUCGUCAGCUCGUGUUGUGAAAUGUUGGGUUAAGUCCCGCAACGAGCGCAACCCUUAUCCUUUGUUGCCAGCGGUUAGGCCGGGAACUCAAAGGAGACUGCCAGUGAUAAACUGGAGGAAGGUGGGGAUGACGUCAAGUCAUCAUGGCCCUUACGACCAGGGCUACACACGUGCUACAAUGGCGCAUACAAAGAGAAGCGACCUCGCGAGAGCAAGCGGACCUCAUAAAGUGCGUCGUAGUCCGGAUUGGAGUCUGCAACUCGACUCCAUGAAGUCGGAAUCGCUAGUAAUCGUGGAUCAGAAUGCCACGGUGAAUACGUUCCCGGGCCUUGUACACACCGCCCGUCACACCAUGGGAGUGGGUUGCAAAAGAAGUAGGUAGCUUAACCUUCGGGAGGGCGCUUACCACUUUGUGAUUCAUGACUGGGGUGAAGUCGUAACAAGGUAACCGUAGGGGAACCUGCGGUUGGAUCACCUCCUUACCUUAAAGAAGC